UACGUAGGGUGCAAGCGUUGUCCGGAAUUAUUGGGCGUAAAGAGCUCGUAGGCGGUUCGUCGCGUCGGCUGUGAAAACCCGGAGCUCAACUCCGGGCCUGCAGUCGAUACGGGCGGACUUGAGUGUUGCAGGGGAGACUGGAAUUCCUGGUGUAGCGGUGAAAUGCGCAGAUAUCGGGAGGAACACCAGUGGCGAAGGCGGCUUCCUGGACCAGCACUGACGCUGAUGCGCGAAAGCUAGGGGAGCAAACAGG
Molecule: ribosomal RNA, 253 nt
Filed under: uncultured bacterium
Lineage: Bacteria
Description: partial 16S ribosomal RNA
Rfam family: Bacterial small subunit ribosomal RNA
Source: RNAcentral